Molecule: ribosomal RNA, 497 nt
Filed under: uncultured bacterium
Lineage: Bacteria
Description: partial 16S ribosomal RNA
Rfam family: Bacterial small subunit ribosomal RNA
Source: RNAcentral
GAUGAACGCUGGCGGCGUGCCUAAUACAUGCAAGUCGAGCGAACGGACGAGAAGCUUGCUUCUCUGAUGUUAGCGGCGGACGGGUGAGUAACACGUGGAUAACCUACCUAUAAGACUGGGAUAACUUCGGGAAACCGGAGCUAAUACCGGAUAAUAUUUUGAACCGCAUGGUUCAAAAGUGAAAGACGGUCUUGCUGUCACUUAUAGAUGGAUCCGCGCUGCAUUAGCUAGUUGGUAAGGUAACGGCUUACCAAGGCAGCGAUGCAUAGCCGACCUGAGAGGGUGGUCGACGACCACAGAAGUGAGAAGAGGUCCAGACGACUACGGGAGGCGGCAGUAGGGAGGAUUACGGAAUGAGCGGAGGCAUGCCGGUGCAGCGACGCGUGGGUAAUGAUGGUGUUCGGAUCGUUGUACACUGUUAUUGGGGAUGAACAAAUGUGUCAGUGUCUGUGCAUGUCUUGACGGUACCUGAACAGAAAGCGCCGGCUAACUACGUG